ACAAGGGGCCUAAAUGCCCUAAAGACACCAGAUUCCAUCCGAUCUUGGAAACUAAGCAGGGUCAGCUCUGGUUAAUACUUGGACGGGACACCACCAAUGAAUACCAGGGCCUGAAUGCU
RNAcentral lists this ribosomal RNA (119 nucleotides) under Anolis carolinensis (green anole). The record is from RNAcentral. Lineage: Eukaryota; Metazoa; Chordata; Lepidosauria; Squamata; Anolidae.